GUCUUAUUGUGAUAUUUUAUUUUAAGUCAAACCUGCUCAAUGAUUUAUAUUAAAUAGCCGCAGUAUUUUGACUGUGCAAAGGUAGCAUAAUCAUUUGUCUUUUAAUUGUAGGCUGGAAUGAAUGGUUAGAUGAAAUAUUAACUUUCUUUAUUUUAUAUUGAAAGAAUUUAAUUUUUUAGUUAAAAAGCUAAAAUAUUUCUGUAAGACGAGAAGACCCUAUAGAAUUUUACUUAAUAUAUAUUAGUUGCAUCUUAAAUAUUACCAUGUGUUAAACACAUAUUAAGUCUCGUUGGGGUGAUGGGGAAAUUUUAUUAACUUUCUUUAUAUAUAAUUUACUAAUUUGUAUAUAUUAAAGAUCCUUAUAUUAAGAUAAUAAGAUUAAAUUACCUUAGGGAUAACAGCGUAAUUCUUUUGGAGAGUUCAUAUCGAUGAAGGAGUUUGCGACCUCGAUGUUGGAUUAAAAUAAGUAUUAAGUGCAGAAGCUUAAUAACUAGGUCUGUUCGACCUUUAAUAUUUUACA
This 520-nucleotide ribosomal RNA is filed under the name Dismegistus sanguineus. Its description in RNAcentral is "partial 16S ribosomal RNA". It matches the Rfam family "Bacterial large subunit ribosomal RNA", at positions 1825 to 2600 of the family's 2925-position model. Lineage: Eukaryota; Metazoa; Arthropoda; Insecta; Hemiptera; Parastrachiidae. The record is from RNAcentral.